UAAAAUGAUGCUAUCUGGUGCUGCAUAAA
RNAcentral lists this non-coding RNA (29 nucleotides) under Rattus norvegicus (Norway rat). Lineage: Eukaryota; Metazoa; Chordata; Mammalia; Rodentia; Muridae. The record is from RNAcentral.